This 502-nucleotide ribosomal RNA is filed under the name uncultured bacterium. RNAcentral describes it as "partial 16S ribosomal RNA". It matches the Rfam family "Bacterial small subunit ribosomal RNA", at positions 30 to 523 of the family's 1533-position model. The record is from RNAcentral.
AUUGAACGCUGGCGGCAUGCCUUACACAUGCAAGUCGAACGGCAGCAUGGGUGCUUGCACCUGAUGGCGAGUGGCGAACGGGUGAGUAAUGCAUCGGAACGUGCCCUGAAGUGGGGGAUAACGUAGCGAAAGUUACGCUAAUACCGCAUAUUCUGUGAGCAGGAAAGCAGGGGAUCGCAAGACCUUGUGCUUUAGGAGCGGCCGAUGUCGGAUUAGCUAGUUGGUGAGGUAAAGGCUCACCAAGGCGACGAUCCGUAGCGGGUCUGAGAGGAUGAGCCGCCACACUGGGACUGAGACACGGCCCAGACUCCUACGGGAGGCAGCAGUGGGGAAUUUUGGACAAUGGGCGCAAGCCUGAUUCAGCCAUGCCGCGUGAGUGAAGAAGGCCUUCGGGUUGUAAAGCUCUUUCGGUGGGGAAGAAAUGGUUUCGGUUAAUACCCGGAAUUGAUGACGGUACCCGCAUAAGAAGCACCGGCUAACUACGUGCCAGCAGCCGCCGUAA